This 440-nucleotide ribosomal RNA is filed under the name uncultured bacterium. RNAcentral's name for it is "partial 16S ribosomal RNA". It matches the Rfam family "Bacterial small subunit ribosomal RNA", at positions 338 to 795 of the family's 1533-position model. The record is from RNAcentral.
CCUACGGGUGGCAGCAGUAGGGAAUAUUGCUCAAUGGGGGAAACCCUGAAGCAGCAACGCCGCGUGGAGGAUGAAGGUUUUAGGAUUGUAAACUCCUUUUGUUAGAGAAGAUUAUGACGGUAUCUAACGAAUAAGCACCGGCUAACUCCGUGCCAGCAGCCGCGGUAAUCCGGAGGGUGCAAGCGUUACUCGGAAUCACUGGGCGUAAAGAGUGCGUAGGCGGGGUAAUAAGUCAGAUGGGAAAUCCUGUAGCUUAACUAUAGAACUGCAUUUGAAACUGGUACUCUGGAGUGUGGGAGAGGUAGGUGGAAUGCGUGGUGUAGGGGUGAAAUCCGUAGAGAUCAAGAGGAAUACUCAUUGCGAAGGCAGCAUACCGGCGCUCAACUGACGCUGAGGCACGAAAGCGUGGGGAUCGAACAGGAUUAGAUACCCCAGUAGUC